UUUCUUAUCUCAGGACAUUGCAUUCACAACACAUUCUGCAAUCAUUCUUGAGAACUCUAAGUGAGAAAAUGGGGAGAAACGGGUUGGUCUAAGGUCACCCAGAGAAUUAUUCUCCAGUCAACAUAUUUCAGUAUAUCUGCAGCAAGAUCAUAUUUCAAGUGUGCUGGUAGAGCUUCUCCUUUGAUGGAAACAUUUGUUAUACAGAUUCCAAUUUCAUGCACCAAACACUUCUGCUGAGCUCACUUCUGAGCAACUAAAUAGUGGCUUCCCUAGUAGAUUAAAACUGAACCUUAUCCAUGAAAUGUCUGGGUUCUUGAUAACCAAGCUUAUCUAAGGCUCCGUGUGCUAACGGCAUUACAGUUAAGUGUGUCAUAUGGCAGGGGCAGGGGACCAAGAUGGCCAACUAGAAAUAGCGGCAAUCAGAGGCUCCCAUCGAAAAGAGCCAAAACAAGUAUGUGAAUCUUUCACCAGCAACCAAGGUAUCCAGCUUCUCUCAUCAGAACUGACUAGGAAGCUGGCAUGCUCCACAGAGAGAAAGGAGGUGCAGUGUGGUGUAGCAGCCCACCUGAGAGCCACACGAGCAGGGGAGCCUCCACCACCCAGCCAAGGGAGGUGGUGAGUGAGCAUGCUACCCAGGCUGGGAAACCGUGCUUUUACCACAGAAAUGUGCAACACAUGAAGUGGAAGAUCCCACUCACAAACCCAUGCCACGGAGCCAUGCAGAUUAUCAACAGCCUCUCAGCUGGAAUAGGCUUAAGCCUACCAAUCUCCCAGGGGGAGGGGCGACCAGCACCACAGCUGCAGCUGCCUGCUGUCUCAGCCAUCUGAGCUUCUUGGGGAAGGGGCAGCAUUCAGCACUGGGACUCACAACUUCCUAACACACUAAGGUCCCUGGGCAGGAGAAGGGUGGCAUUCAUCUCUAUAGCUCCAGGCUGUGCUUUUCCCCUGCUGGAGCCAGGGAGGCUGGACGGCUUGGUCCCAAGAUGUGUCCCCCACAGCCCAACACACCAGCUGUGGAAGACUGCAGCCAGAGUGCCUCUUCAGGCCUGACCCCGACUCAUUAUUCCUCACUGGGCGGGGCUUCCAUGCAAGAACUCCCGUAACUCCAGCCAGAGGCUCAGGGACAGAACCUGAAUCUCUCUGGGCCUGAUCCCCUAGGGGGAUGGGUGGCCACAGACUCUGUGGACCAGGAGACUUAUCCUUUCCUCCUGGUAGUUCUGAGGAAUAUGGGCAGCCUAGUUGAGUGGGUUUCCCCCCAGCAAAGCACACCCCCUCCACCAAGGGACAGUCAAGGUACUUUGUUAAACAUGUCCUGUUUCCCGUUUCACCCAACUGGGUAAGACCCUCUGACAGGGGUUGUCAGACAUCCUAUACAGGAGCGAUCCUACUGGCAUCAGGUUGGUGCCUGCCCCUCAAGGUCAGAGAUCCCAGAAGAAGGAGCAGGCAUUCAUCUUUGCUGUUCUCCAGCCUCCUUGAGUGACAUCUCCAGGAGUGGGAGUGAACCAAGUGAAUAGAACCUGAAGUGAACCCCCAGCAAACCCCAGCGGCCCUGCAGAAGAGAGACAUGACCAUUGAAAGAAAAACAACAAACAGAAAGCAACAAUAACAGCAUUGACAACAAGAUAAAAGCCCCCCCCCAAAAAACCCCAUCAAAGGGUUGGCAGCCACAAAGAUCAAAACUAGACAAACUCACGAAGAUGAGAAAGAAUCAACAAAAAACAGCUGAAAACCCAAAAGGCAAGAGUGCCUCUUCUCCUCCAAAUGAUCACAGUGUCUCUCCAGCAAGGUCACAGAAUUGGAUGGAGGAUGAGAUAGACGAAUGGACAGAAGUAGGUUUCACAAGAUGGGUAAUAAAAAACUACCCUGAGCUAAAGGAGCAUGUGCUAACCCAAUGCAAGGAAGCUAAGAACUUUGACAAAAGGUUAGAGGAGCUGCUAACUAGAAUAACUAGUUUAGAGAGGAACAUAAAUGACCUGAUGGUGAUGAAACACACAGCAUGAGAACUUCAUGAAGCAUAUACAAAUAUCAAUAGCCAAAUUGACCAAGCGGAAGAAAGGAUGUAAGAGUUUGAAGAACACUUUGCUGAUAUAAGACAUGCAGACAAGAUUAGAGAAAAAGAAUAAAAAUGAAUUAACAAAGCCUCCAAGAAAUAUGGGACUUCAUAAAAAGACUGAACCUACGAUUGAUUGGAGUACCUGAAGGAGACGGGGAGAAUUGAAACAAGCUGGAAAACACACUUCAGGAUAUUAUCCAGGAAAACUUCCCCAACCUAGCAAGGCAGGCCAACAUGCAAAUUCAGGAAAUACAGAGAACACCGCUAAGAUACUCCAUGAGAAGAUCAACCCCAAGACACGUUAUCACCAGAUUCUCCAAGGUUGAAAUGAAGGAAAAAAUGUUAAGGGCAGCCAGAGAGAAAAGCCAGGUCAUCUACAAAGAAAAGCCCAUCAGACUAACAUUGGACCUCUCAGCAGGAACUCUACAAGCCAGAAGAGAUUGGGGGCCAAUAUUGAACAUUCUUAAAGAAAAGAAUUUUCAACCCAUAAUUGCAUAUCCAGCCAAACUAAGCUUCAUAAGCAAGGGAGAAAGAAAAUCCUUUUCAGACAAGAAAAAGCUGAGGGAUUUCAUUACCACAAGGCCUGCCUUGGAAGAGCUCCUGAAAGAAGUCCUAAAUAUGGAAAGGAAAAACCAGUACCAGCCACUGCAAAAACACACCAAAAUAUAAAGACCAAUGACAUUAUGAAGAAACUGCAUCAACUAGUGUGCAAAAUAACUAGAUAGCAUAAUGAUGACAGGAUCAAAUUCACACAUAACAAUACUAACCUUAAAUUCAAAUGGGCUAAAUGCCCCUAUUAAAACACACAGACUGUCAAAUUGGAUAGAGUCAAGGCCAUUGGUGUGUUGUAUUCAGGAGACCCAUUUCAUGUGCAAAGACACACAUAGGCUCAGAAUAAAGGGAUAGAGGAAAAUUUACCAAGCAACACAAACAAACAAACAAACAAAAACAGCGGGGGUUGCAAUUCUAGUUGCUGUCAAAACAGACUUUAAACCAACAAAGAUCAAAAAAGACAAAGAAGGGCAUUAUGGUAAAGGGAACAAUUCAACAAGAAGAGCUAACUAUUUUAAAUAUAUAUGCACCCAAUACAGGAGCACCCAGAUUCAUGAAACAAGUUCUUAGGGACAUACAAAGAGACUUAAACUCCCACAAUAAUAGUGGGAGACUUUAACACCCCACUGUCAAUGUUAGACAGAUCAACGAGUCAGAAAAUUAACAAGGAUAUUCAGGACUUGAACUCAGCUAUAUAGACAUCUACAGAACACUCCACCCCAAAAUCUACAGAACUCUCCACCCCAAAUCAACAGAAUAUACGUUCUUCUCUGUGCCACAUGGCAAUUAAUUUAAAAUCAGCCACAUAAUUGGAAAUAAAACACUCCUUAGGAAAUGCAAAAGAACGGAAAUCAUAACAGUCUCUCAGACCACAAUGCAAUCUAAUUAGAACUCAGGAUUAAGAUGCUCACUCAAAACCACACAAUUAGAUGGAAAUUGAACAACCUGCUCCUGAAUGACUACUGCGUAAAUAAUGAAAUUAAGGCAGAUAUCAAAAAGUUAUUUGAAACUAAUGAGAACAAAGAGACAACAUGCCAGAAUCUCCCGGGACACAGUUAAAACCAUAUUAGUUGAAAAUUUGUAGCACUACAUGUCCACAUCAGAAAGCCAGAAAGAUCUCAGAUCGACACCCUAACAUCACAAUUAAAAGAGGUAGAGAAGCAAGAGAAAACUAAUCCAAAAGCUAGCAGAAGGCAAGAAAUAACUAAGAUCAGAGCAAAGUUGAAGGAGAUAGAGACAUGAAAAACCCUCCAAAAAUUCAAUGAAUCCAGGAUUUGUUUUUUUGAAAAAAUUAACAAAGUAGAUAGACCACUAGCUAGACUAAUAAAGAAGAAAAGAGAGAAGAUUCAAGUAGACACAAUAAAAAAUGAUAAAGGGGAUAUCACCACUGACCCCAUAGAAAUACAAACUACUACUAUAUAGAUAAUAUUAUAAACACCUCUAUGCAAGUAAACUAGAAAAUCUGAAAGAAGUGGAAAAAUUCCUGGACACCUACACCCUUCCCAGACUAAACCAGGAAGAAGUCGAAUCCCUGAAUAGACCAAUAACAAGAUCUGAAAUUGAGGCAGUAAUUAAUAGCCUACCAACCAAAAAAAGCCCGGGCCAGACAAAUUCACAACCAAAUUCUACCAGAGGUACAAAGAAGAGCUGGUACCAUUCCUUCUGAAACUAUUCCAAACAAUUGAAAAGGACAGACUCCUCCCUAACUCAUUUUAUGAAGCCAGCAUCAUCCUGUUACCAAAACCUGGCAGAUAACACACACACAAAAAUAAAACUUCAGGCCAAUAUUCCUGAUUAACAUCGAUGCAAACAUUUUCAAUAAAAUGCUGACAAACCGAACCCAGCAGCACAUCAAAAAACUCACCCAUGACAAUCAAGUAAGCUUCAUCCCUGGGAUGCAAGGCUGGUUCAACAUACACAAAUCAAUAAACACAAUCUAUCACAUAAACAGAACCAAAGACAAAAACCAUAUGAUUAUCUCAAUAAAUGCAGAAAAGGCCUUUGAUAAAAUUCAACAUCGCUUCAUGUUAAAAACUCUCAAUAAACUAGGUAUUGAUGAAGCAUAUCUCAAAAUAAUAAGAGACAUUUAUGACAAACCCACAGGCAAUUUCAUAUUGAAUGGGAAAAAGCUGGUAGCAUUCCCUUUGAAAACCAGUACAAGACAAGGAUGCCCUCUCUCACUACUCCUAUUCAACAUAGUGUUAUAAGUUCUGGCCAGGGCAAUAAGGCAAGAGAAAGAAAGAAAGUGUAUUCAGAUGGGAAGAGAGUAAGUCAAAUCGUCUCUGUUUGCAGACAACGUGAUUUUAUCUUUAGAAUACCCUAUCAUCUCAGCCUAAAACCUCCUUAAACUGAUAAGCAACUUCAGAAAGUCUCAGGAUACAAAAUCAAUGUGCAAAAAUCACAAGCAUUCUUUUACACCAACAACAGACAAGCAGAGAGCCAAAUCAUGAAUGAACUUUCAUUCACAAUCGCUAUGAACAGAAUAAAAUACCUAGGAGUACAGCUUACAAGGGAUGUGAAGGACCUCUUCAAGGAGAACUACAAACCACUGCUCAACGAAAUAAGAGAGGACACAAACAAAUGGAAAAACUUUCUGUCCUUAUGGAUAGUAAUAAUCAAUAUCGUGAAAAUGGCCAUACUGCCCAAAGUCAUUUAUAGAUUCAAUGCUAUUCCCUUCAAACUACCACUGACAUUCUUCACAGAAUUAGAAAAAACUACUUUAAAUUUCAUAUGGAAUUAAUUGCUUGUUGAUAGAACAAGGGGAUACCAAUGUUAAAAUUGUUUUCAAAAGAGAUUUUACUUAGCACUUCUACAAAGAGUAUAUAUGAGUCUGUUUAAAUUCAAAGUAAUAAAUUGGUAUUAUUAUAUUUCCUAGAUGUUUCCAAUCAAGUAAGUGUGAAAUAGUAUCACAUUGUGGCUUAAUUUACAUUUUCCUGAUUACUAAUGAGGUUGAGCAUCUGUUCAUAUGUUUACUCAACAUGCGUUUUCUUUUUUUUGCUGCUAUAUCUUUUCCCCAUUUUUCUCUUGCCUUGCUUGUGUUUUUCAUAUUGGUUUAUAGAAGUUCCUUAUAUACUGUAAACAUUAACUUUUUGGCAAUUAUGGAAAAUCUUUUUAAAGUUUAGUCUUGUUUUACUUUCUUUUCAUAAAAUGAAUUCUUAGUUUCCAUGUGGUAAACUUUGUUAUUCUUUUAUUUUAUGGUUAACAGAAUUUGUGUUUAUUUAAGAAAUUCUUGUUUAAUAAAUUUACUCAGAUCCCAACAUCAGAAAAAUACCUAAUACACUCUUUGAAAAUAUUUAGAGAUCUGUUUUUUACUUCUAAUUGUUUGAUUCUCAAGUGAUGGAUUUGUGGUUACUAAGGUUGUUCUUACAUCCCAUUGUGCAUCUGUAUCACUUAGAUGGUUCAUUAUAACAUGAAUUGUUGUCCCACCUAACAGAGUUUGUGAUUCAGCCAUUCUGUGGUUGGGCCCAAGAUUAUAGAUUCAAACAUGUUCUCAGUUUAUAUUGAUGCUCUGGACUAGGCGCCAUGCUUUGAAAAUCAAUUGUGCACACUCUGAGGCUGGAAAACCAAUUUAACUUAUAUUCUCUAAGGAUAGUCAAUGUAAUUUAUUUUCUGUAAGGAUAAUUUAUUUUCUAUAAUUGUUUUAGAAUGUCUACUAAAGUAAGUCUAUAAAGUUUAUAAUUUCCCCAGUGACCUAAAAUGCCAAAUGUCAUACAUAAUUUUUAUUUCUUUGUGGUUUUAUAGCUCUUUUAUUCCAUUGAUCAAUUUGUUUAUUUCUGUUUAAUAGCACAUUAACUUAUUUGUAUGGCUUUAUAGAAUAGCAAGUUAACCAAUGUAUUCUUACUUAGUAAGAUUUGGGGUAUUCUUGGCACUUAAUUCUUGUAUACAUUUCAUAAUCAAUAUGAACAUGUCACAAGAAAUCCUAUGGGUUUUUUGUUGAAAUUGCACUGAAUAAUACAACAAUUUUCUGAAAUUAGAUGGCCUUUUUGUAUUUUUUCCUCUGUACAUAUAAUGUAAUUUAAUUAUUUCUCUUAGAAUUUUCUUCAGGUAGUACUGAACAUCUUUUUAAAUUUUAAUUUGUCACUAAGUUAAAUUUGUAUAUCUAUGUCUAUCUUUCUAUCUAAACUUAUAAAUAAGCAGAAUCUAUAGCUAUGUCACUGCUUUUUUCAGUUUUUAUUGUGAAAUAUGUGUAUGUUCAUAGGCAGAUGCACAAAUAAGGUAGUGAGAUCUGGUGCAGCCUUAACUUCAUGUCCUCUUAUGGUAACAUGUAAUUAUAGUACCAUAUGAAAUUUAUAAAAUUAGUCUUUGUACAAUCCAGAGAAUUUACUCUGAUAUUUUAAGGUUAACAUACACUCAUUUGUGUAGUUUAUAUGUAUUUGUGGUUUUCUCAUAUGUGUAGAUUAC
Molecule: long non-coding RNA, 7006 nt
Filed under: Homo sapiens (human)
Lineage: Eukaryota; Metazoa; Chordata; Mammalia; Primates; Hominidae
Description: HSALNT0403351
Source: RNAcentral